CAAGGCGACGAUCCCUAGCUGGUCUGAGAGGAUGACCAGCCACACUGGAACUGAGACACGGUCCAGACUCCUACGGGAGGCAGCAGUGGGGAAUAUUGCACAAUGGGCGCAAGCCUGAUGCAGCCAUGCCGCGUGUAUGAAGAAGGCCUUCGGGUUGUAAAGUACUUUCAGCGGGGAGGAAGGUGUUGUGGUUAAUAACCGCAGCAAUUGACGUUACCCGCAGAAGAAGCACCGGCUAACUCCGUGCCAGCAGCCGCGGUAAUACGGAGGGUGCAAGCGUUAAUCGGAAUUACUGGGCGUAAAGCGCACGCAGGCGGUCUGUCAAGUCGGAUGUGAAAUCCCCGGGCUCAACCUGGGAACUGCAUUCGAAACUGGCAGGCUUGAGUCUUGUAGAGGGGGGUAGAAUUCCAGGUGUAGCGGUGAAAUGCGUAGAGAUCUGGAGGAAUACCGGUGGCGAAGGCGGCCCCCUGGACAAAGACUGACGCUCAGGUGCGAAAGC
RNAcentral lists this ribosomal RNA (499 nucleotides) under Salmonella enterica. RNAcentral describes it as "bacterial SSU rRNA". It matches the Rfam family "Bacterial small subunit ribosomal RNA", at positions 269 to 760 of the family's 1533-position model. The record is from RNAcentral. Lineage: Bacteria; Pseudomonadati; Pseudomonadota; Gammaproteobacteria; Enterobacterales; Enterobacteriaceae. RNAcentral also lists the same sequence under 1 other name.